Molecule: ribosomal RNA, 1402 nt
Filed under: uncultured bacterium
Lineage: Bacteria
Description: 16S ribosomal RNA
Rfam family: Bacterial small subunit ribosomal RNA
Source: RNAcentral
AGAGUUUGAUCCUGGCUCAGGAUGAACGCUAGCGGCAGGCUUAACACAUGCAAGUCGAGGGGCAGCGGGGAGGAAGCUUGCUUUCUCCGCCGGCGACCGGCGCACGGGUGAGUAACACGUAUGCAACCUGCCCCUGUCAGGGGGACAACCCGCCGAAAGGCGGGCUAAACCCGCGUACAUGCCACCGGGGCAUCCCGGAGGCAGGAAAGGCUUCGGCCGGACAGGGAUGGGCAUGCGGCGCAUUAGGCAGUAGGCGGGGUAACGGCCCACCUAACCGACGAUGCGUAGGGGUUCUGAGAGGAAGGUCCCCCACACUGGUACUGAGACACGGACCAGACUCCUACGGGAGGCAGCAGUGAGGAAUAUUGGUCAAUGGUCGGGAGACUGAACCAGCCAAGCCGCGUGAGGGAUGAAGGUACAGAGUAUCGUAAACCUCUUUUGUCAGGGAACAAAGGCGGGGACGUGUCCCCGGAUGAGUGUACCUGAAGAAAAAGCAUCGGCUAACUCCGUGCCAGCAGCCGCGGUAAUACGGAGGAUGCGAGCGUUAUCCGGAUUUAUUGGGUUUAAAGGGUGCGCAGGCGGUCUGUUAAGUCAGCGGUCAAAGCCCGGGGCUCAACCCCGGCCCGCCGUUGAAACUGGCAGUCUCGAGUUGGAGAGAAGUAUGCGGAAUGCGCGGUGUAGCGGUGAAAUGCAUAGAUAUCGCGCAGAACUCCGAUUGCGAAGGCAGCAUGCCGGCUCCACACUGACGCUGAGGCACGAAAGCGUGGGUAUCGAACAGGAUUAGAUACCCUGGUAGUCCACGCAGUAAACGAUGAAUGCUGGCUGUCCGGGGGGACUGACCCCUGGGUGGCGAAGCGAAAGCGAUAAGCAUUCCACCUGGGGAGUACGCCGGCAACGGUGAAACUCAAAGGAAUUGACGGGGGCCCGCACAAGCGGAGGAACAUGUGGUUUAAUUCGAUGAUACGCGAGGAACCUUACCCGGGCUCAAACGGGGAGUGACUCAGGCAGAGACGCCUGUUUCCCACGGGACACUCCCCGAGGUGCUGCAUGGUUGUCGUCAGCUCGUGCCGUGAGGUGUCGGCUUAAGUGCCAUAACGAGCGCAACCCCCGCGUGCAGUUGCUAACAGAUAACGCUGAGGACUCUGCACGGACUGCCGGCGCAAGCCGCGAGGAAGGCGGGGAUGACGUCAAAUCAGCACGGCCCUUACGUCCGGGGCGACACACGUGUUUCAAUGGGUGGUACAGCGGGAAGCCAGGCGGCGACGCCGAGCGGAACCCGAAAUCCACUCUCAGUUCGGAUCGGAGUCUGCAACCCGACUCCGUGAAGCUGGAUUCGCUAGUAAUCGCGCAUCAGCCAUGGCGCGGUGAAUACGAAGCCGGGCCUUGCACUCACCGCCCGUCA